AAUGUACAGGGAAUGGCAGAGAGAGCAGGAGAUGCAAUAGAUGAUAUUGCUGGAGGUGCAGGUGAAGGAGUCGAUGAUGCGAUAGGGUCGAUGAUGGGUGCCAGUGAGGAGGGUGGUGUUGAAGAGGUAUGGGCAAGUGCGGCAAAAGUAUGAUCUCA
Octopus sinensis (East Asian common octopus) is the source of this 158-nucleotide long non-coding RNA. RefSeq lists it as uncharacterized. NCBI's taxonomy places the organism in Eukaryota, Metazoa, Mollusca, Cephalopoda, Octopoda, Octopodidae. The record is from RefSeq and is a predicted model, not a curated record. The transcript has 3 exons.